Athene cunicularia (burrowing owl) is the source of this 229-nucleotide long non-coding RNA. RefSeq lists it as uncharacterized. NCBI's taxonomy places the organism in Eukaryota, Metazoa, Chordata, Aves, Strigiformes, Strigidae. The transcript has 3 exons. The record is from RefSeq and is a predicted model, not a curated record.
CCCCAGCAGCCGGACCCUGUGCUGGGGUCCUAGGGCUGGCAUGGGGUCAUUCCCCACACAGAAUGGUGGCUUCGCAGUUGCUCUCAGAAGACAUGUGAGGCAGAUGGACUAAUCCCUUUGUGGGAAGCUCUGGAAGGAGUGAGCUUGCCGAGAAGAUACAGACUCAGGGCUGCAGCGUAGGUGAGAAUGGCCUGAAGCAAACUGCAUGACUUCAGUUUGCAUUUCUAUC